UAGGGAAUCUUCCACAAUGGACGAAAGUCUGAUGGAGCAACGCCGCGUGAGUGAUGAAGGGUUUCGGCUCGUAAAACUCUGUUGUUGGAGAAGAACGGGCGUCAGAGUAACUGUUGACAUCGUGACGGUAUCCAACCAGAAAGCCACGGCUAACUACGUGCCAGCAGCCGCGGUAAUACGUAGGUGGCAAGCGUUGUCCGGAUUUAUUGGGCGUAAAGCGAGCGCAGGCGGUUUUUUAGGUCUGAUGUGAAAGCCUUCGGCUUAACCGGAGAAGUGCAUCGGAAACCGGGAGACUUGAGUGCAGAAGAGGACAGUGGAACUCCAUGUGUAGCGGUGAAAUGCGUAGAUAUAUGGAAGAACACCAGUGGCGAAGGCGGCUGUCUGGUCUGCAACUGACGCUGAGGCUCGAAAGCAUGGGUAGCGAACAGGAUUAGAUACCCUGGUAGUCCAUGCCGUAAACGAUGAGUGCUAAGUGUUGGAGGGUUUCCGCCCUUCAGUGCUGCAGCUAACGCAUUAAGCACUCCGCCUG
RNAcentral lists this ribosomal RNA (529 nucleotides) under uncultured bacterium. RNAcentral describes it as "partial 16S ribosomal RNA". It matches the Rfam family "Bacterial small subunit ribosomal RNA", at positions 355 to 875 of the family's 1533-position model. The record is from RNAcentral.